Molecule: ribosomal RNA, 497 nt
Filed under: uncultured bacterium
Lineage: Bacteria
Description: partial 16S ribosomal RNA
Rfam family: Bacterial small subunit ribosomal RNA
Source: RNAcentral
GAUGAACGCUGGCGGCGUGCCUAAUACAUGCAAGUCGAGCGAACGGACGAGAAGCUUGCUUUUCUGAUGUUAGCGGCGGACGGGUGAGUAACACGUGGAUAACCUACCUAUAAGACUGGGAUAACUUCGGGAAACCGGAGCUAAUACCGGAUAAUAUUUUGAACCGCAUGGUUCAAAAGUGAAAGACGGUCUUGCUGUCACUUAUAGAUGGAUCCGCGCUGCAUUAGCUAGUUGGUAAGGUAACGGCUUACCAAGGCAACGAUGCAUAGCCGACCUGAGAGGGUGAUCGGCCACACUGGAACGGGAACACGGUCCAGACUCCUGCGGGAGGCAGCAGUAGGGAAUCGUCCGCAGUGGGCGAAAGCCUGACGGAGCAACGCCGCGUGAGUGAUGAAGGUCUUCGGAUCGUAAAACUCUGUUAUUAGGGAAGAACAUAUGUGUAAGUAACUGUGCACAUCUUGACGGUAACUAAUCAGAAAGCCACGGCUAACUACGUG